GCCUUCGAGUUGUAAAGCACUUUCAGUCGUGAGGAAGGUAGUGUAGUUAAUAGCUGCAUUAUCUGACGUUAGCGACAGAAGAAGCACCGGCUAACUCCGUGCCAGCAGCCGCGGUAAUACGGAGGGUGCGAGCGUUAAUCGGAAUUACUGUGCGUAAAGCGCAUGCAGGUGGUUUGUUAAGUCAGAUGUGAGAGCCCGGGGCUCAACCUCGGAAUUGCAUUUGAAACUGGCAGACUAGAGUACUGUAGAGGACUGUAGAAUUUCAGGUGUAGCGGUGAAAUGCGUAGAGAUCUGAAGGAAUACCGGUGGCGAAGGCGGCCGCCUGGACAGAUACUGACACUCAGAUGCGAAAGCGUGGUGAGCAAACAGGAUUAGAUA
RNAcentral lists this ribosomal RNA (378 nucleotides) under Vibrio parahaemolyticus. RNAcentral describes it as "bacterial SSU rRNA". It matches the Rfam family "Bacterial small subunit ribosomal RNA", at positions 414 to 784 of the family's 1533-position model. Lineage: Bacteria; Pseudomonadati; Pseudomonadota; Gammaproteobacteria; Vibrionales; Vibrionaceae. The record is from RNAcentral.